This 274-nucleotide ribosomal RNA is filed under the name uncultured bacterium. RNAcentral's name for it is "partial 16S ribosomal RNA". It matches the Rfam family "Bacterial small subunit ribosomal RNA", at positions 523 to 796 of the family's 1533-position model. The record is from RNAcentral.
AUACGGAGGGUGCGAGCGUGAAUCGGAAUUACUGGGCGUAAAGCGUACGUAGGCGGUUGGUUAAGUUAGAUGUGAAAGCCCCGGGCUUAACCUGGGAACUGCAUUUAAAACUGGCGAACUAGAGUUGAGUAGAGGGGAGUGGAAUUUCAGGUGUAGCGGUGAAAUGCGUAGAGAUCUGAAGGAACACCAGUGGCGAAGGCGACUCCCUGGACUCGAACUGACGCUGAGGUACGAAAGCGUGGGUAGCAAACGGGAUUAGAUACCCUAGUAGUCC